ACCACUAAGCCACAUUUGGUGAUGAUAGCUCUUAAAGUAGAUACGUAAUGCUUUUAUUCCACAGUACUACCAUUGCCUAGAAUAUUGUGGGAGAAGAUAAAAGCAUUAUUAAAAUUCUACUUUUAAAAUAUUCUUCACAGUCUGCUGCAUAGCUUUAUAAAUACCAUCAGUUGAAGGAGGAGGGAGACUAUGAACAAGUUUGCAAAUCAGCAAACGAUUUAUUGUAGUAGUCCAAUGAACAAGGUUAACAGGAUGGGAGGGGAGGCUAUUAGUCAUUACUCUUAGUGGCAAGUAACAGAAACCCACUUUGAACAAUCUUAGUGGAAAGAAGGAACCUUUUGACCAUUGUAACUGAAAAUUGCAAGGAUUGAGGUGGCUUAAAAAUUGCUGUAUUCAAGAUUUCAAAUAAGUUGCCAAAAAAUUAAGAAAUCAUCGCAUAAGAGUGACAAGAGCAGGGCCACAAAAACAGGCUUUUGUGUUAGUGCAGGCAAAAGAUGAUAGCAAUGGAGAUAAAAGGGUGGAUUCUAGAUCUGUUGGGGUGGGUGGAACUAAUCACUUGCUGAUGGAUUGGAGGGUGGGAUGAGGAAGAGAAAAGAAUCAAAGGAUGACCUUCAUUUUGGAGUUGAGCAGCUGGUAAGGCAACAAUUGGGAGGGUUAGGGGGAGAAGCAGGUUUAUAGUAGAAAAUCAGUAGUUCCAUUUUGGCACUCAUGUCUGCAGGCUUAGGAAUCAAACAGCCUGUUCCAAUUUCAGACUCUGCCACUUUCUAUCUGGGUGGCCUUCUCUGGGCCUCAGUUCUUGUCUGCAAAACAAUACUCCUAAGAAUUUUUGGGAGGGUUAGAUAGCUAAUGCACAUAACCCUGGCUUGUGAUAGGCACCUAAUGAUGUUGGCAAUUAUUUGAUACCUGCUGCUGAAUACAUCUAUGUAGUCUAUUGACCUUGAUCUUUUUUCACUGUAUCCUUUUGUGAUAAACAGAUGGUAGUCCCAUCAAGAAGAAGAAAUUCUCACAAGAAAAUUUGCCCAAGAAGGAAAGAUGAAUCCUUCAAAGUUAUUGCUUUUCUUUGUACUUUGAGGAUUUUUAAGUGGGGGAGAGUUCAUCUUUGUGAAAAGGACCCAAUAAUGUAUUUGCUGUCUUCCUUUGUCGUAUGCAUAAUCUUCAUUACACAAAGACUCAAAAUGAAUAAACCGCUCUGAAAAGUUGCUUAAUUGGGACAUAGAAAUCUCUUAUGUUUUUUCCAAAUCUAAAGAUACUAGUUUAAAAAUUAAAAUGGUACUGAGAAGGCUUGCAGUUAGAUGAGAAAAUCCUGUUUAUCCCUCCAUGGUGUGAAAUUAGGGUGUUGGUGGUGCGGGACCUAGAGAUGCCUAUGAGUACAAAGGCCUCUCUCCUGAAAUGGUCCCCUCCACUCAGGAGAGCAAAGCUGUCAGUGCAGAAAUUGGCCCAUCUGUCCCCAAUUGUUCUGUCUUUAUAUGGGUGAAUGAAUUUUGGCAAAGCUAUUGCAUUCAGUGGCUGGUACAUAGUAAGUACUAUGUAAGUGUUACAUAAGCUAGAUGUUUUUUAUCUUGAAAAACCCGAUUAUACAGUUUGUUUUACUGAGAGCUUCAAGAUAUGUUUCGUAACAACAGGGGCAAAAGUAGAACUUACUGUGGAAUAAUCUACCUUCCCCCACACCACUACCCCGCCUCCCCUUAGGCAGAAAACCACAUUGCCAGUAUUCUUAAAUGUUCUUUCAUAACAGGAUGUUUCUUUCUUCUUACACCAUCUGCAAACAUAUAGAAUUCUGUGCCUCCACACAACUCUAGUGCUAAUUCAACAGAGACUCUCCAACUUGUGCCUUCUGACCAUGCAAAUGAAACUUCCAACAGCACUAUGAAACUACCAACUACAGCUGCCUCAGUCCCCAGCAAUAAGACAGUCACCACCAUGAAACCCACAGCAGCAGCUAAUACGACAACACCAAGGAUGGUCUCAACAAAUACAACUGCCACCUUCAAGUCUACACCCAAAACAACAAGUGUUUCACAGAACACAUCUCAGAUAGCAACAUCCACGAUGCCCAUAGCUCACAAUAGUUCAGUGACAUCUGUUUCUUCAUCAGUAACAAUUACAGCAACUAUGCAUUCUGAAGCAAAGAAAGGAUCCAGAUUUGAUACUGGGAGCUUUGUUGGUGGUAUUGUAUUAACGCUGGGAGUUUUAUCUAUUCUUUACAUCGGAUGCAAAAUGUACUACUCAAGAAGAGGCAUUCGGUAUAGAACCAUAGAUGAACAUGACGCCAUCAUUUAAGGAAAUCACGGACCAAGGAAGGAAGACAGAUUGAUGUAGCCCUAUCAAUUAAUUUUGGUUUAUUAAUAGUUUAAAACAAUAUUCUCUUCUUGAAAAUAGCAUACAGGCCAUGCAUAAAAUGUACAGUGUAUUACAUAAAUAUGUAAAGAUUCUUCAAGGUAACAAGGGUUUGGGUUUUGUAAUAAACAUCUAGCGCUUAUAGAGAGUUAAUACAAUGGUUUAUAUUCACUUUUUAGCAAUUUCAUAGUAAGACAAGUCCUAUCUUUUUUUUUUUUUUUUUUGUGGCAUUGGUCACGUAUGACCAGUAAUUGAAAGAUGUCAUCACUGAAAGACAGAAUGCCAUCUGGGCAUACAAAUCAGGAAUUUGUCACAGCACUCAGGAUUUUGAGUAUCUUUGUAGCUCACACAAAGAACUUCAGUGCUUUUCGGAGCUGGAUAUAUCCUAAUUACUAAUGCUACACAACAGAAAUUAUACAAUCAAGUGAAUCAGAUCUGAAGCACAAUUUAAGAAAAACAUCAACAUUUUUUGUGCUUUAAACUGUAGUAGUUGGUCUGGAAACAAAAUAUACCAAGAAAAAGAAAAUUUUCAAAUAAAACCCAAAAUAAUACCUGUGCUUAGCCCUGUUAGAGAUCCAUUGAAGUAUUGAAGAGCAUAUAUGUUCAUUAAUAACUUCUUUUGAGCUUUCAAUGUUGAUGUAAUUUUUGUUCUCUGUGUAAUUUAGGUAAACCACAGUGUUUAAACAUGAUAAUGUUUUAAAGACUUAGUUACUAUUAAAUAAUCCUGGCAUUAUAGGGAAAAACUCCUAGAAGUUAGAUUAUUUGCUACUGUGAGAAUAUUGUCACCACUGGAAGUUACUUUAGUUCAUUUAAUUUUUAUAUUUCAUGAAUAUUUUAAGAACUGUAGAGCUGCUUUCUGGAAGUUUUUAAUGGAGUGUAAACACACCUAACUUUAAGAAAAAGAACCCCUUGUAUGAUUUUCAAAAUAACAUUUAGAAUUUGAUAGUAGUCAUAACUAUAGAGUAAUGCUGUGUUUAUUAAGCCAAGGAUUGUGGGACUUCCCUAGACUACUAAAGUUGCAGGACGAAAAUGCUGUAUUUUUUUUCAUGCACUGUCAGUUUUACUCAGAGAUUUGGGGAAAUGACAUUUUUAUACUGAAACACCAACAUUUUCGAAUAAAUUCUUAGGAAGUUUUGAGAGGAAUUUUUAGACAGGACAUUUUCUGCUUCCUGAUUGGGAUAUUUCUUCAGAUCCCUCCUCUUAGUCCAUGCUGAAGGAGAGGUACUUUUAGAUGCAUUAUGUUAAUGAGAGAAAAAGCACAGUACUGCAGAGACACCAGUAUUACCCAAUGUAUUCUGGAGUGUUUUCAGUUUUAUAAUAAAGUUUAUAUUCUAGCACAUAAAACUCAGGGUCAAGUUUUAGCAAGAGAGGUAUGUAGUCACAGUAAAUACUAAGAUUGCAUUUCUAUCUUAGAGGGCCAAAGUAAAUCACACCAGUUUCUGAAGGUCCCAAAAACAGCUGAGAUGUCCUAAUGAACAUGUGCCUACAUUUAAUAGGAAUGAAAUAAAACUGUUGUGGUCAGCUUUUGGUUUGCAGAGAAUGCUAGAUAAUAAGAAUUUUGAAAUGGAUUGUUUCUGCUUGCUGUGCAUUAUAACCAAUAAUCUGAAUACAGAAAAAAAAUUAUCCAAAAUAUGGAUAUAAUUAGAUGUAUGUAACGUGUAGACUAUGGAAGAAAUUUUUUGAAAAAUCCAUUUAGAUUAGUUUGAAAAGAAAUGUAGGCUGAUGGCUGAGUUGUAUAUGUUGCUAACUUGGCCCUGACUGGUUAUGCAACCAUUGCUUCAUUUCUUUGCAAAAUGUAGUUAAGAUAUACUUUAUACUAAUGAAGGCCUUUUAAAUUUGUCCACUGCAUUCCUGGUAUUUCACUACUUCAAGUCAGUCAGAACUUUGUGGACCGACCUGAAGUUUCUUCUUGAAUACUUGUUUCUUUAGCACUUUGAAGAUAGAUAGAAAAACAACUUCUUAAGUACUAAGUCAUUUUUUGGUUUCAAAUAGUUCAGUUAUGUCUUUUCUCUGUAUAUAAGUAGAUAAUUUGUUACUUUCAAAUACCAGUACUAGGCAGGUUUUUUUGUUGUUGUUAUCUAUAAAAAUUGAAGGAAGUGGUUAUGCAAAACAAUAUUUUGCUUUGGACCAUAUUUCCUAAGCAUAAACUUACCCUCCUAAUUAUAUUUACUUAAGAAAAUGCUCAAUUUUGCUUGCAUUCCUUGAGAAUGUAUUUAUUUGAAGAUCAAAACAAUCCAGAUGUAUGUCUGUCUACUUGGCAGAAGCCAGUCUAUAAUCUUAAAAUUUCCUUGAAUAAUCCAUUAAAGGAAUAAUUCAAAUACAGACAAACAAGAGUUGGCAGUAUAUUAUAGUGAUAAUUUUGUAUUUUCAGGAAAAAAACUCUUCUUUUUAUUAUAAUGACCAGCUUUUGGUAUUUCGUUGUUACCAAGAUCUAUUUUUAGAAUAAAAUUGUUCUCCAUC
Molecule: RNA transcript, 4797 nt
Organism: Sapajus apella (tufted capuchin)
Lineage: Eukaryota; Metazoa; Chordata; Mammalia; Primates; Cebidae
Gene: TMEM123
Gene name: transmembrane protein 123
Exons: 4
Source: RefSeq, a predicted model, not a curated record